UCCGGUUUGUCACCGGCGGUCUCCUUAGAGUUCCCACCAUUACGUGCUGGCAACUAAGGACAAGGGUUGCGCUCGUUGCGGGACUUAACCCAACAUCUCACGACACGAGCUGACGACAGCCAUGCAGCACCUGUGUUCGAGUUCCCGAAGGCACCAAUCCAUCUCUGGAAAGUUCUCGACAUGUCAAGGCCAGGUAAGGUGGGGAUGACGUGUCUAGGAGGGUG
RNAcentral lists this unclassified non-coding RNA (224 nucleotides) under uncultured Lysobacteraceae bacterium. RNAcentral describes it as "uncultured Xanthomonadaceae bacterium contains 16S-23S intergenic spacer region". Lineage: Bacteria; Pseudomonadati; Pseudomonadota; Gammaproteobacteria; Lysobacterales; Lysobacteraceae. The record is from RNAcentral.